Molecule: ribosomal RNA, 501 nt
Filed under: Metschnikowia pulcherrima
Lineage: Eukaryota; Fungi; Ascomycota; Pichiomycetes; Serinales; Metschnikowiaceae
Description: eukaryotic LSU rRNA
Rfam family: Eukaryotic large subunit ribosomal RNA (bases 265-492)
Source: RNAcentral
GAUCCUUAGAUGCAGGCCUCGGGGUGGUGUGGUAGUGAGACCCCGGUUAUUGUCCUUUGAAGAGAUUUGGGUCCGGCCGGUGGGGGUUAACUCCACUGGGAUGUGCCGCCACAGAGGGUGAUUGCCCCCCGUUCCCCUUCAACGCCUUCAUCCAAUAUUUCCCUCACUUUACUUGUUGGUUUUCGCCUUUCCAUCUGUGUGGUUGAUUCCUAUCGGUCUCUCGCCCGUAUUAAAGACCGAUUGGAAUUUACCACCCACUGGAGCUUGAAAAGCACUUUGAAAAAAUAUUGAAAAACUACGUGAAAUUGUUGAAAGGGAAGGGCUUGCAAUCACACCCUUAACUGGGCCACCUUCGGGGCGGCGGGAACCAAAACCACCGGGGAAUGUACCUUUCGAGGAUUAUAACCCCGGGCCUUACUCCCUUACCACCCCGAGGCCUGCAAUCUAAGGAUGCUGGCGUAAUGGUUGCAAGUCCCCCGUCUUGAAACACGGACCAAAAAA